GGAAGGGUAGCUCAAUAGGUAGAGCAGUGGUCUUCAAAACCAAUGGUUAAGGGUUCGAUUCCUUUCCCUUUCG
This 73-nucleotide transfer RNA is filed under the name Candidatus Organicella extenuata. Its description in RNAcentral is "tRNA-Trp". It matches the Rfam family "tRNA". From Rfam's summary of the family: Transfer RNA (tRNA) molecules are approximately 80 nucleotides in length. The record is from RNAcentral. Lineage: Bacteria; Pseudomonadati; Verrucomicrobiota.